RNAcentral lists this unclassified non-coding RNA (425 nucleotides) under soil metagenome. RNAcentral's name for it is "partial contains 5.8S ribosomal RNA, internal transcribed spacer 2, and large subunit ribosomal RNA". The stretch from base 1 to 120 matches the Rfam family "5.8S ribosomal RNA", at positions 35 to 154 of the family's 154-position model. The record is from RNAcentral.
GAUGAAGAACGUAGCGAAAUGCGAUAAGUAGUGUGAAUUGCAGAAUUCCGUGAAUCAUCGAAUCUUUGAACGCACAUUGCGCCUUCUGGUAUUCCGGAAGGCAUGCCUGUUCGAGAGUCAUUAACAACCGUUUCGAUCCCUUUCUUUCAGAAAUUACAAAGAGGAAAAGGGUUUGGUUAUGGUGGAGGAGGGAAAGGGAGCGUUUAGCCUGUAAAAAAAGAGGCUGUAUUCCGCCUCCCCCCCAAAAUUGUACAGGCGGUCGUGUGCGCCCACGCAUCGAGGUGUUGUAAAAGCUGCCACGGCACUUUUCACCUGUGCAGUGCGAGAUUGGCCAGCCGGUUUAAAAACCCCUCCAAACAAUCAAAGGUUGACCUCGGAUCAGGUAGGGAUACCCGCUGAACUUAAGCAUAUCAAUAAGCGGAGGA